RNAcentral lists this ribosomal RNA (460 nucleotides) under uncultured bacterium. RNAcentral's name for it is "partial 16S ribosomal RNA". It matches the Rfam family "Bacterial small subunit ribosomal RNA", at positions 338 to 795 of the family's 1533-position model. The record is from RNAcentral.
UCUACGGGAGGCAGCAGUGAGGAAUAUUGGUCAAUGGACGAGAGUCUGAACCAGCCAAGUAGCGUGAAGGAUGACGGCCCUAUGGGUUGUAAACUUCUUUUAUAAAGGAAUAAAACGAGCCACGUGUGCCUUUUUGCAUGUCCUUUAUGAAUAAGGAUCGGCUAACUCCGUGCCAGGAGCCGCGGUAAUACGGAGGAUCAGAGCGUGAUCCGGAUUUAUUGGGUUUAAAGGGAGCGUAGUUGGGUUGUAAAGUCAGUUGUGAAAGUGUGGGGCUCAACCGUAAAAUUGCAAUUGAUACUGGCAGGCUUGAGUACAGUUGAGGUAGGCGGAAUUCGUGGUGUAGCGGUGAAAUGCUUAGAUAUCACGAAGAACUCCGAUUGCGAAGACAGCCUACUAAACUGCCACUGACAUUGAUGCUCGAAAGUGUGGGUAUCAAACAGGAUUAGAUACCCCGGUAGUC